CUUCCAUGAUGGAUAUGAUAUGGUAAUAAAAGCCUGGGAUCUAAUGGAACCCAGGGAAAUGAGAGACUGAAAGGUUUAUUGUAAAGAAUAUUACAGAAGAUGUAGAUGAAGAGAUGCAUACAAAAAGGGUAUUGGAUUGGAAGAUGCAUUAUACGGUCAUCCUAAACAAGUAUUCCUGGUGAUUCUGGCACAGUUGACUCACGAACAUAAACUGCUCGAAUGUUUGUCCUAAUUGAGUAAGGAGAACAAAAAACCAUCACUUUUCCUCCUUGAGUGAGGCCAUGUGUGGCUAUCUUAUGAAAUAGAAAAAUGGUAUAAAAUAAAAUAUAAAUAUGGAACUAAAUGUUCACAAUAUGUUCUCUCUCUCACUAAUAUUUUGCUUCUUUACUUGCAUUUCACUCUUUCAUUCCUCUGUAAGCCCUGAUAUCUGCAAAGGGUUUUACAAAUUGGAAACCCAUUACUAGCACCAAAGGCCAUUCAAUUGAGAGAGUAUUGAUAAGAUCUAUA
This 507-nucleotide long non-coding RNA is filed under the name Homo sapiens (human). Its description in RNAcentral is "HSALNT0312898". Lineage: Eukaryota; Metazoa; Chordata; Mammalia; Primates; Hominidae. The record is from RNAcentral.